Long non-coding RNA from Suricata suricatta (meerkat), 438 nucleotides. RefSeq lists it as uncharacterized. NCBI's taxonomy places the organism in Eukaryota, Metazoa, Chordata, Mammalia, Carnivora, Herpestidae. The record is from RefSeq and is a predicted model, not a curated record. The transcript has 2 exons.
CUAAGAACCAGAGUCAGUGGGGAGAGUCUUGUCCAGAAUGAAGUGGGCUCAAGGGUGAAGGAGGGAUUCAUAACUACCCAAAGCAGUUUCAGAGAAAUGCAGAAGCCAAAGAGGAUUCCACAGAAGCCUAAUAGACAACUAAAAAGAUGGAUACUUUUUGGGUACUUGGGUUAAGCACCAGUUGGCCUUGAAAAAAAGACUGGGAGUCACUGUAACAUUACUGCUCCAGAUUUCUAAGAGUUCUUCCCAAAGGAAUCAUGGCAAACAAUUCUCUAUUUCCAUCACAGUGGGAGACAGAGAUAUUCACACAGAAGAUGGUUAUAAACAAAGAGUUGGAAACUUUAUAAAUGGGAAAUAUUUCUCAGAUAUAGACUGAAUGAGAAAAUUGUCUUUACUCUGACCACAAUCCUUUUCAUUAAAACUUCAGAUUAAUAAAUA